UUUGAUCGUCCAACCGCCGCACUGGUAACCUAGAUUAUCAGCGUGAGUUCCGGCUACUAAGAUCUUCGGCGCCUUCUUCGACAGAGGAAGAACUGGAUCAUCUGCAUUUUCGCCGUUCUUCAAUAGAACAAGUCAAUUAACCUGGCUUCCAAGCUCAUUUACAAAUCUGUCAUCGGCCAAUGGAUUCUCAAACAGCCCCAUUACGAACUUGACUCUCAAGAUCCUCCUUACAGCGUCGUUGAUUCGGUACAUCGGAACAGCCUUGCUGUUGACAAGGUAGGUAAGGCCAUCGAUGAACUCCUUGUAAUUUGUAGGAACCAUGAACUGAAACACGACAGUAAAACUAGUUUUGUAAGAUCUAAGAUGCCAUGUUCAUUGAGAUUGCCUAUGUUGAUAAUCUUACCAUGUCUAUUCCUGCUU
Molecule: long non-coding RNA, 420 nt
Organism: Cucurbita moschata (crookneck pumpkin)
Lineage: Eukaryota; Viridiplantae; Streptophyta; Magnoliopsida; Cucurbitales; Cucurbitaceae
Exons: 2
Source: RefSeq, a predicted model, not a curated record